RNAcentral lists this ribosomal RNA (2921 nucleotides) under Staphylococcus aureus M0508. RNAcentral describes it as "bacterial LSU rRNA". It matches the Rfam family "Bacterial large subunit ribosomal RNA". Lineage: Bacteria; Bacillati; Bacillota; Bacilli; Caryophanales; Staphylococcaceae. The record is from RNAcentral.
UUAAGUUAUUAAGGGCGCACGGUGGAUGCCUUGGCACUAGAAGCCGAUGAAGGACGUUACUAACGACGAUAUGCUUUGGGGAGCUGUAAGUAAGCUUUGAUCCAGAGAUUUCCGAAUGGGGAAACCCAGCAUGAGUUAUGUCAUGUUAUCGAUAUGUGAAUACAUAGCAUAUCAGAAGGCACACCCGGAGAACUGAAACAUCUUAGUACCCGGAGGAAGAGAAAGAAAAUUCGAUUCCCUUAGUAGCGGCGAGCGAAACGGGAAGAGCCCAAACCAAAAAGCUUGCUUGUUGGGGUUGUAGGACACUCUAUACGGAGUUACAAAGGACGACAUUAGACGAAUCAUCUGGAAAGAUGAAUCAAAGAAGGUAAUAAUCCUGUAGUCGAAAAUGUUGUCUCUCUUGAGUGGAUCCUGAGUAAGACGGAGCACGUGAAAUUCCGUCGGAAUCUGGGAGGACCAUCUCCUAAGGCUAAAUACUCUCUAGUGACCGAUAGUGAACCAGUACCGUGAGGGAAAGGUGAAAAGCACCCCGGAAGGGGAGUGAAAUAGAACCUGAAACCGUGUGCUUACAAGUAGUCAGAGCCCGUUAAUGGGUGAUGGCGUGCCUUUUGUAGAAUGAACCGGCGAGUUACGAUUUGAUGCAAGGUUAAGCAGUAAAUGUGGAGCCGUAGCGAAAGCGAGUCUGAAUAGGGCGUUUAGUAUUUGGUCGUAGACCCGAAACCAGGUGAUCUACCCUUGGUCAGGUUGAAGUUCAGGUAACACUGAAUGGAGGACCGAACCGACUUACGUUGAAAAGUGAGCGGAUGAACUGAGGGUAGCGGAGAAAUUCCAAUCGAACCUGGAGAUAGCUGGUUCUCUCCGAAAUAGCUUUAGGGCUAGCCUCAAGUGAUGAUUAUUGGAGGUAGAGCACUGUUUGGACGAGGGGCCCCUCUCGGGUUACCGAAUUCAGACAAACUCCGAAUGCCAAUUAAUUUAACUUGGGAGUCAGAACAUGGGUGAUAAGGUCCGUGUUCGAAAGGGAAACAGCCCAGACCACCAGCUAAGGUCCCAAAAUAUAUGUUAAGUGGAAAAGGAUGUGGCGUUGCCCAGACAACUAGGAUGUUGGCUUAGAAGCAGCCAUCAUUUAAAGAGUGCGUAAUAGCUCACUAGUCGAGUGACACUGCGCCGAAAAUGUACCGGGGCUAAACAUAUUACCGAAGCUGUGGAUUGUCCUUUGGACAAUGGUAGGAGAGCGUUCUAAGGGCGUUGAAGCAUGAUCGUAAGGACAUGUGGAGCGCUUAGAAGUGAGAAUGCCGGUGUGAGUAGCGAAAGACGGGUGAGAAUCCCGUCCACCGAUUGACUAAGGUUUCCAGAGGAAGGCUCGUCCGCUCUGGGUUAGUCGGGUCCUAAGCUGAGGCCGACAGGCGUAGGCGAUGGAUAACAGGUUGAUAUUCCUGUACCACCUAUAAUCGUUUUAAUCGAUGGGGGGACGCAGUAGGAUAGGCGAAGCGUGCGAUUGGAUUGCACGUCUAAGCAGUAAGGCUGAGUAUUAGGCAAAUCCGGUACUCGUUAAGGCUGAGCUGUGAUGGGGAGAAGACAUUGUGUCUUCGAGUCGUUGAUUUCACACUGCCGAGAAAAGCCUCUAGAUAGAAAAUAGGUGCCCGUACCGCAAACCGACACAGGUAGUCAAGAUGAGAAUUCUAAGGUGAGCGAGCGAACUCUCGUUAAGGAACUCGGCAAAAUGACCCCGUAACUUCGGGAGAAGGGGUGCUCUUUAGGGUUAACGCCCAGAAGAGCCGCAGUGAAUAGGCCCAAGCGACUGUUUAUCAAAAACACAGGUCUCUGCUAAACCGUAAGGUGAUGUAUAGGGGCUGACGCCUGCCCGGUGCUGGAAGGUUAAGAGGAGUGGUUAGCUUCUGCGAAGCUACGAAUCGAAGCCCCAGUAAACGGCGGCCGUAACUAUAACGGUCCUAAGGUAGCGAAAUUCCUUGUCGGGUAAGUUCCGACCCGCACGAAAGGCGUAACGAUUUGGGCACUGUCUCAACGAGAGACUCGGUGAAAUCAUAGUACCUGUGAAGAUGCAGGUUACCCGCGACAGGACGGAAAGACCCCGUGGAGCUUUACUGUAGCCUGAUAUUGAAAUUCGGCACAGCUUGUACAGGAUAGGUAGGAGCCUUUGAAACGUGAGCGCUAGCUUACGUGGAGGCGCUGGUGGGAUACUACCCUAGCUGUGUUGGCUUUCUAACCCGCACCACUUAUCGUGGUGGGAGACAGUGUCAAGCGGGCAGUUUGACUGGGGCGGUCGCCUCCUAAAAGGUAACGGAGGCGCUCAAAGGUUCCCUCAGAAUGGUUGGAAAUCAUUCAUAGAGUGUAAAGGCAUAAGGGAGCUUGACUGCGAGACCUACAAGUCGAGCAGGGUCGAAAGACGGACUUAGUGAUCCGGUGGUUCCGCAUGGAAGGGCCAUCGCUCAACGGAUAAAAGCUACCCCGGGGAUAACAGGCUUAUCUCCCCCAAGAGUUCACAUCGACGGGGAGGUUUGGCACCUCGAUGUCGGCUCAUCGCAUCCUGGGGCUGUAGUCGGUCCCAAGGGUUGGGCUGUUCGCCCAUUAAAGCGGUACGCGAGCUGGGUUCAGAACGUCGUGAGACAGUUCGGUCCCUAUCCGUCGUGGGCGUAGGAAAUUUGAGAGGAGCUGUCCUUAGUACGAGAGGACCGGGAUGGACAUACCUCUGGUGUACCAGUUGUCGUGCCAACGGCAUAGCUGGGUAGCUAUGUGUGGACGGGAUAAGUGCUGAAAGCAUCUAAGCAUGAAGCCCCCCUCAAGAUGAGAUUUCCCAACUUCGGUUAUAAGAUCCCUCAAAGAUGAUGAGGUUAAUAGGUUCGAGGUGGAAGCAUGGUGACAUGUGGAGCUGACGAAUACUAAUCGAUCGAAGACUUAAUCAA